UACGUAGGGUCCGAGCGUUGUCCGGAGUUACUGGGCGUAAAGCGCGCGCAGGCGGCGGUGCUGGCCCGGCGUGAAAGCCCCCGGCUCAACCGGGGAGAGUCGUCGGGGACCGCACCGCUUGAGGGCGGUAGGGGCUGGUGGAAUGCCUGGUGUAGUGGUGAAAUGCGUAGAGAUCAGGCAGAACACCUGGGGCGAAGGCGGGUUGCUGGGCCGACACUGACGCUGAGGCGCGAAAGCUAGGGGAGCGAACGGG
RNAcentral lists this ribosomal RNA (253 nucleotides) under uncultured bacterium. RNAcentral describes it as "partial 16S ribosomal RNA". It matches the Rfam family "Bacterial small subunit ribosomal RNA", at positions 524 to 776 of the family's 1533-position model. The record is from RNAcentral.